GCCCGGGUAGCUCAAUCGGUAGAGCGUGUGGCUCUUAGUAGACUACCUCAAGGUCGCGGGUUCGAGCCCCGCCUCGGGCU
This 80-nucleotide transfer RNA is filed under the name Blumeria hordei DH14. RNAcentral's name for it is "tRNA-Lys for anticodon CUU". It matches the Rfam family "tRNA". From Rfam's summary of the family: Transfer RNA (tRNA) molecules are approximately 80 nucleotides in length. Lineage: Eukaryota; Fungi; Ascomycota; Leotiomycetes; Helotiales; Erysiphaceae. The record is from Rfam by way of RNAcentral. RNAcentral also lists the same sequence under 1 other name.